AGAGUUUGAUCCUGGCUCAGGAUGAACGCUGGCGGUCUGCUUAACACAUGCAAGUCGAACGGGUACUUCGGUACUAGUGGCGGACGGGUGAGUAACGCGUGAGAAUCUAGCUUCAGACCGGGGACAACAGAGGGAAACCACUGCUAAUACCCGAUGUGCCGAAAGGUGAAAGAUUUAUCAUCUGAAGAUGAGCUCGCGUCCGAUUAGCUAGUUGGUAGGGUAAGAGCCUACCAAGGCGACGAUCGGUAGCUGGUCUGAGAGGAUGACCAGCCACACUGGGACUGAGACACGGCCCAGACUCCUACGGGAGGCAGCAGUGGGGAAUUUUCCGCAAUGGGCGAAAGCCUGACGGAGCAAGACCGCGUGAGGGAGGAAGGCUCUUGGGUUGUAAACCUCUUUUCUCUGGGAAGAAGAUCUGACGGUACCAGAGGAAUCAGCAUCGGCUAACUCCGUGCCAGCAGCCGCGGUAAUACGGAGGAUGCAAGCGUUAUCCGGAAUUAUUGGGCGUAAAGCGUCCGUAGGUGGCGGUUCAAGUCUGCCGUUAAAACCAGUAGCUUAACUACUGACAGGCGGUGGAAACUGAACAGCUAGAGUGUGGUAGGGGUAGAGGGAAUUCCCAGUGUAGCGGUGAAAUGCGUAGAGAUUGGGAAGAACACCGGUGGCGAAAGCGCUCUGCUGGACCACAACUGACACUCACAGGACGAAAGCUAGGGGAGCGAAAGGGAUUAGAUACCCCUGUAGUCCUAGCCGUAAACGAUGGAUACUAGGUGUUGUGAGUAUCGACCCUCACAGUGCCGGAGCCAACGCGUUAAGUAUCCCGCCUGGGGAGUACGCACGCAAGUGUGAAACUCAAAGGAAUUGACGGGGGCCCGCACAAGCGGUGGAGUAUGUGGUUUAAUUCGAUGCAACGCGAAGAACCUUACCAGGACUUGACAUGUCGCGAAUCCUCUUGAAAGGGAGGAGUGCCUUCGGGAGCGCGAACACAGGUGGUGCAUGGCUGUCGUCAGCUCGUGUCGUGAGAUGUUGGGUUAAGUCCCGCAACGAGCGCAACCCUCGUUUUUAGUUGCCAGCAUUAAGUUGGGCACUCUAAAGAGACUGCCGGUGACAAACCGGAGGAAGGUGGGGAUGACGUCAAGUCAGCAUGCCCCUUACGUCCUGGGCUACACACGUACUACAAUGCUACGGACAAAGAGCAGCUAAACAGCGAUGUCUUGCUAAUCUCGUAAACCGUGGCUCAGUUCAGAUUGUAGGCUGCAACUCGCCUACAUGAAGGCGGAAUCGCUAGUAAUCCCAGGUCAGCAUACUGGGGUGAAUUCGUUCCCGGGCCUUGUACACACCGCCCGUCACACCACGGGAGUUGGCCACGCCCGAAGUCGUUAUCCUAACCCGCAAGGGAAGGAGAUGCCGAAGGUGGGGCUGAUGACUGGGGUGAAGUCGUAACAAGGUAGCCGUACCGGAAGGUGUGGCUGGAUCACCUCCUUUUUAGGGAGACCUAACCCAAUUGUUGACUGAAAAUUUGUUCAUAAGUCACAAUUGAGGUCAUACCUAGGUCGAACGAAAUUGAUGAAUUGGCUUUCAAACUAUUGUCAGGUUCUCUUUAAGAUGUGAACAAACCGAUCGCUUUUAGUUCGGUUUUUUCCUAACUCAACUGCAUUUGCCAUUAGCUAUAUUAGUGUUUGUGGAUGUUAGUUGAAUUGCGAAAAAAUUUCUUCAUCAUCUAUCAAAAAACACCACACAAACGGCAAUUGAUUUGUUAUAUUAGUCUUGGUGGCAAUCAGUUAACCAGCAACAAAAAGUAUUGCAACAACCUUUGGAUAAAAACUUCAACAACUUAUCUAGUGCGAUAGUUAAAUUAGAGAGCCUGCUGGAUGAAAAAAUCCAGUAAAGAACCUUGAAAAUUGCAUAGUAACUUGUCAGGUAGAAAAUGUCAUUAAUUAUUAGUUAUUAGUGACAAAUUCACAGACACCAAUGUAAGAAAUAUUGUGGUCAAGCUAAUUAAGGCUUACGGUGAAUACCUAGGCACACAGAGGCGAAG
This 2035-nucleotide ribosomal RNA is filed under the name Phormidium sp. CHAB TP201721.1. RNAcentral's name for it is "bacterial SSU rRNA". The stretch from base 1 to 1482 matches the Rfam family "Bacterial small subunit ribosomal RNA". The record is from RNAcentral. Lineage: Bacteria; Bacillati; Cyanobacteriota; Cyanophyceae; Oscillatoriales; Oscillatoriaceae.